UAAGGCUGUUAGAGCGGAGCGGCUCCACCCCUUACCAUCCCGAACAGGGUCGUGAAACGUUCCAGCGGAGACGAUACUUAAGCCACAAGGCUUCGGGAAAAUAUCUCACAGCUGUAA
RNAcentral lists this ribosomal RNA (117 nucleotides) under Candidatus Woykebacteria bacterium RBG_13_40_15. Lineage: Bacteria; Candidatus Woykeibacteriota. The record is from RNAcentral.